GACGAACGCUGGCGGCGUGCCUAAUACAUGCAAGUUGAGCGCUGAAGGUUGGUACUUGUACCAACUGGAUGAGCAGCGAACGGGUGAGUAACGCGUGGGGAAUCUGCCUUUGAGCGGGGGACAACAUUUGGAAACGAAUGCUAAUACCGCAUAAAAACUUUAAACACAAGUUUUAAGUUUGAAAGAUGCAAUUGCAUCACUCAAAGAUGAUCCCGCGUUGUAUUAGCUAGUUGGUGAGGUAAAGGCUCACCAAGGCGAUGAUACAUAGCCGACCUGAGAGGGGGAUGGGCCAAAUUGGGACUGAGAAAGGGCCCAAACUCCUAAGGGGGGCAGAAGAAGGGAAACUUGGGAAAGGGGAGAAAGUUGGAACGAGAAACGCGGCGGGAGGGAAGAAGGUUUUCGGAUGGAAAAACUUGGUUGGUAGGGAAGAAAGUUGGGGGGGGGGAAAAGCCCACAAAGUGACGGUAACCACCAAAAAAGGAACGGCUAACUACGU
RNAcentral lists this ribosomal RNA (496 nucleotides) under uncultured bacterium. RNAcentral's name for it is "partial 16S ribosomal RNA". It matches the Rfam family "Bacterial small subunit ribosomal RNA", at positions 28 to 506 of the family's 1533-position model. The record is from RNAcentral.